GAGCACGAAAGACCUUGAAGAAGAGUAUUUCCCUUCUACCCUCACUGGGUAUCUGAUCAAUCUCAUGUGUGAAUACUUUUUUGACUUGGGAAUGAAUACUUUGAGCUGGCUAAUGGGAUUUCUAUUGCGGUGCACCAUCUCAUAUAUCAUUAAGCUGCCAAUCUUGAUCCACAUCACACUUUGAGGGAAAUGGAGGUGAACAAAUUCGAAGAGGAUGAUGAAAAGUUUUUGAACUGUUGUAAAAGUUUGAAUACAUUAAUUUGAUUUUGUGAAAUAUAUUCAUUUGUGAAAUAUAUUGAACUAUUGUAAGAGUACUUUUUGAACUAUUGUAUACACAUUUUGAAUAUUAAUGCUUUAUAAGUAUGUGUAUGUACACAACACAUAUUAUAUUUUGAAGUUUAUGGAAAAUCUAUCAAUUUGAAUUA
Solanum pennellii is the source of this 425-nucleotide long non-coding RNA. RefSeq lists it as uncharacterized. Lineage: Eukaryota; Viridiplantae; Streptophyta; Magnoliopsida; Solanales; Solanaceae. The record is from RefSeq and is a predicted model, not a curated record. The transcript has 2 exons.